This is a long non-coding RNA of Mobula hypostoma (lesser devil ray), 542 nucleotides long. RefSeq lists it as uncharacterized. The record is from RefSeq and is a predicted model, not a curated record. Lineage: Eukaryota; Metazoa; Chordata; Chondrichthyes; Myliobatiformes; Myliobatidae. The transcript is spliced from 3 exons.
AUGAAAAUGGAGCAGCAGUUUCCGCAGAGAAUGAUCUUAUAAACAACAAUGAUAGAAUUUCUUGUGUUAAUGAUAGAAUGACCAGGUUUGUUACUACUUUUGAGCAAUUUUUGGAUCGGGGCAGCCUGCAGGUUGUUGAGGGAGAAUUAUAAGUCAGUGGAACUGAGAGGAUUUUCCUUCAAACUACGUGGUGGAAUCUCUUAGAAAGAUUUAAUCUUUAAGUUGAAAGCUGGACGACACCUCUUUUUGAAUCAAUAUCAGGUUCGGUGCACAUCCGGAGGUGAAAUACACCUCCCUCCUCAACAAAUCUGCCUUCAUCUCGAACAGCCAAAUGUCUGGGAGUCAUCUUGGAACACCUUACUGUAUUAUUUUAAAUGGACAAGUUCGGGUCGUUGCUGUGGCUAUAUAAUAGCUAAUUGGUUUAUUACUGUCACAUAUACCAAGAUGCAGCAAAAAGCAUUAGAUUGCAUGCCAUCCAGACAGAUCAUUCCAUAUAAGAUACAUCGAGGAAAAAAUAUAUAGAAUAUAACAUUAUAGUUCAA